UGCCAUAUCCUACAUAGGUCUGUCCCCAGC
RNAcentral lists this non-coding RNA (30 nucleotides) under Homo sapiens (human). The record is from RNAcentral. Lineage: Eukaryota; Metazoa; Chordata; Mammalia; Primates; Hominidae.